AUUUUUUUUCUAAUUUUUUUUGCUUCUUUGCAUUUCAGGUCUCACUCGCUCCGUUCAAUCGUCGUGUCUGGUGAUCGGAGCUCCGCCAUGGGUGAAGCUUUAUUUGAACUUGAACAAGUUCUCAGGUCCAAACAGACUAAGCUAGGCACCGAGGCUAUUGCAGACCCUCUGGAUUGUAUUUUCGGUUCACUGGCCAGAGAAGAAGAAAUCCAACAUUUGAGUUAGAAAACACUGAACUCAAAAGUGGUAUUAUGAUUUUUUCAAAAGACAUCGUAUUAAAAAAUGUAUUCUUUACUUAUAAAUUCAUGAUAACCUUCGAUUAGCCAACGUAGGAUUGUAUUCCUCACUUAUAAAUUCAUGAUAAUCCUUGAUUAACCAACGUAGGAUUUCUUCCCAACAAUCCUCAACAUAGCACAUCACGUAAAUCUCAGUCUAGUAGUAUAAGAUAUCAUCGUCAGCAUCCAAAGCUUUGAACAUGUGUAAUUCCAGGUUCAAUUCAAUAAAAGAAGAGAUUAAGCAAUCCUGAACCAUUUAUUAUGUUUAUAACGUCCAUAUCCAUAGUGCAGUGUUGUCAUUUCCCUAGCACAAGAA
This is a long non-coding RNA of Cucurbita maxima (winter squash), 591 nucleotides long. RefSeq lists it as uncharacterized. Lineage: Eukaryota; Viridiplantae; Streptophyta; Magnoliopsida; Cucurbitales; Cucurbitaceae. The transcript is spliced from 3 exons. The record is from RefSeq and is a predicted model, not a curated record.